RNAcentral lists this long non-coding RNA (1238 nucleotides) under Panax ginseng (ginseng). RNAcentral describes it as "long non-coding RNA (PGIN_LNC003805)". Lineage: Eukaryota; Viridiplantae; Streptophyta; Magnoliopsida; Apiales; Araliaceae. The record is from RNAcentral.
UCCCAUUGAUGACUAUUGAUUACAUUGCAUUAAAUUUCAUAACAUUUGAGCUUGUGUCAUAGAGUACAAGAGAUAUUCAUCACAAUUAAAUACAAGUACAACAUAACCAAAUUCUGAUAGUUAUUAGUAAAGAUAAAAGUCAGUCGUCCUCUAAAGCAAGUUAGAUUGACAAAGAGAAGUAUCCUUACAUAGAAGCACGUGCUGAAUACCUCCUCCUCGUGAAUUAUGCCUCAUCUUGAUGAAAGCCUUUGGUAUAAAUCAUCAGCCAAUGUCUGCCUCAAGCUUUCCCCAAAAUAGUAAUAAGACUUCUCAUUUUCCAAUAUUCUGGGAGCCGGUGAAUUCUCUUCUGGCCUUAAUCUAUUCAUCAAGAGAUGAGAGAAAUAGAAGAAAAUUAUAAAAUUCAAAAGCAAAAUUCUUUAGUUGCAGUAAAUAUUUGUGGUACCAGCAAAUGGUAUGGAUUCUAACAGAAUUUUGAUAAUUGCUAGUAGGGAAGUUAACAUAAUGUAGUUGGCUAGUAGGGAAGUUACCAUUACAGCUAGCUUGGUAUUACCAAACAAUGGUGUAAGAUUGAUCAUCAUCAAUUUAUUUACAAUUGAUUUUUUUUCAUAACAUGAGCUGGAAUCAAGAACAACAUGAGCUACUAUUAGGGCUACUAAUUCAAGAACAACAUGAGCUGGAAUCAAAGCCGAAGUGAAUAUAGAAAAAAAUAAUUAUGAUACUAAAUUGUUGGACGUUAGAGGAAGAGAUAAAGAGGGAGAGAAAGAGGAGUUGUUUCAAACGAAUAACACAGUGGAAGCAUCAUAAGGUGUUAGUGAAUCAAAUAAUUGUUGGAAGUUUAAACCCAUUAGUCGAAGAAUACUAUUCCAAUGAAGAAGUUACAAGUAUGCUACACAAUCAAUGGUCACCAACAUCAGCCAAUGGUCACCAACACAGUACUACUCAUUUUGAAGUAUAAUGGCACAAACUCAAAAAGUUCAAGAAUAAAAAGCAAAAGGAAAAACAUUCGGGAGAUAUCAUGUAUGAAAGUGUUGGCUAUAACACAAAAAAUAGCAUAUCACAAAUACUAUCAUUGAUCAAAUCAGAUGAAAAAACAGAAUUUAUUGCAUUAUUAUUCAAAAGUAAAACAUACAAGAAGCCUAGAAAAAGCCUUUUUUUUCAUAAAAACAUAAUAAUUAGGUAUUUAAAUCUCACUUUGAUAGUAUCAUAAUAGUUCCAUCCAACAUCCAAGCCUCAGAACC